Molecule: small RNA, 80 nt
Filed under: Salmonella enterica subsp. enterica serovar Oranienburg
Lineage: Bacteria; Pseudomonadati; Pseudomonadota; Gammaproteobacteria; Enterobacterales; Enterobacteriaceae
Also listed under: 3 other names
Description: partial RtT sRNA
Rfam family: RtT RNA
About the family: This family represents a bacterial cis-regulatory element known as RtT RNA. The exact function of RtT is unknown although it is thought that it may be involved in changing the cellular response in relation to amino acid starvation.
Source: RNAcentral
GCGCAGCGAGAAAGCGUUGCCGUAGGCAACGACCCGAAGGGCGAAGCGCGCAGCGCUGAGUAAUCCUUCCCCCGUCAUCC